GUCGGGUUGGGAACAAAGUGGUUAACCCGGCCCCCGAUCACGGCCAGGGUGCGCUUGCCCUGUGUGACCAUCUGCACACCCCGAGUCUUGAACGCCUU
RNAcentral lists this small RNA (98 nucleotides) under Mycobacterium sherrisii. RNAcentral's name for it is "Mycobacterium sRNA Ms_AS-1". It matches the Rfam family "Mycobacterium sRNA Ms_AS-1". The record is from Rfam by way of RNAcentral. Lineage: Bacteria; Bacillati; Actinomycetota; Actinomycetes; Mycobacteriales; Mycobacteriaceae.